GACGAACGCUGGCGGCGUGCCUAAUACAUGCAAGUCGAGCGCAGGAAGCCGUCUGAACCCUUCGGGGGGACGACGGUGGAAUGAGCGGCGGACGGGUGAGUAACACGUAAAGAACCUGCCCAUAGGUCUGGGAUAACCACGAGAAAUCGGGGCUAAUACCGGAUGUGUCAUCGGACCGCAUGGUCCGCUGAUGAAAGGCGCUUCGGCGUCGCCCAUGGAUGGCUUUGCGGUGCAUUAGCUAGUUGGUGGGGUAACGGCCCACCAAGGCGACGAUGCAUAGCCGACCGGAGAGGGGGAUCGGCCACACUGGGACUGAGACACGGCCCAGACUCCUACGGGAGGCAGCAGUAGGGAAUCUUCCACGAUGGACGAAAGUCUGAUGGGGCAACGCCGCGUGAACGAUGAAGGCUUUCGGGUCGUAAAGUUCUGUUGUAAGGGAAGAACAAGUGCCGCAGGCAAUGGCGGCACCUUGACGGUACCUUGCGAGAAAGCCACGGCUAACUACGUGCCAGCAGCCGCAGUAA
RNAcentral lists this ribosomal RNA (524 nucleotides) under uncultured bacterium. RNAcentral's name for it is "partial 16S ribosomal RNA". It matches the Rfam family "Bacterial small subunit ribosomal RNA", at positions 28 to 523 of the family's 1533-position model. The record is from RNAcentral.